This 372-nucleotide ribosomal RNA is filed under the name uncultured bacterium. RNAcentral describes it as "bacterial SSU rRNA". It matches the Rfam family "Bacterial small subunit ribosomal RNA", at positions 338 to 727 of the family's 1533-position model. The record is from RNAcentral.
CCUACGGGAGGCAGCAGUGGGGAAUAUUGGACAAUGGGCGAAAGCCUGAUCCAGCAAUGCCGCGUGAGUGAUGAAGGCCUUAGGGUUGUAAAGCUCUUUUACCCGGGAUGAUAAUGACAGUACCGGGAGAAUAAGCCCCGGCUAACUCCGUGCCAGCAGCCGCGGUAAUACGGAGGGGGCUAGCGUUGUUCGGAAUUACUGGGCGUAAAGCGCACGUAGGCGGCUUUGUAAGUUAGAGGUGAAAGCCUGGAGCUCAACUCCAGAAUUGCCUUUAAGACUGCAUCGCUUGAAUCCAGGAGAGGUGAGUGGAAUUCCGAGUGUAGAGGUGAAAUUCGUAGAUAUUCGGAAGAACACCAGUGGCGAAGGCGGCUC